Molecule: long non-coding RNA, 1066 nt
Organism: Chroicocephalus ridibundus (black-headed gull)
Lineage: Eukaryota; Metazoa; Chordata; Aves; Charadriiformes; Laridae
Exons: 3
Source: RefSeq, a predicted model, not a curated record
GCAAACUCGGAUGCUAGAAAGGGGCUUCACUGACGGCUGCUGACAGAAGCCGCCCAGGAGAGCUGUGGUGUGAGGUACCUAUGUGAGCAAACGAGUCCACCACCAAACUUGUCCACAGCUACUUUCUGCUGAGGGGGGACGGAGGUGGAUUCCAACAAUAUUUUAUUGUGGGAAACCAGCAGUGGAAAGGAUGAAGAGAAGACUUCCAUCAUUAGAGGAACACCUCAGCCUGGAUCCCAGGAAACUGCUAUCAAAGGAGACACAGACCUCAUGAAGGGCAGGAGAGAGAAAUGCCAUACUGGAGAAUUCUCACAGGAUACCCUGAGGACAUUGGCAUCUUGAGUAUGUUUUGGCCCAGGAUUAGAAAAAUACAGUACUUGAACCAAGAAGGCAGCUUUUAGUGAACUGUUCCUCGAGGGCUCAUAUUAUUUAACACAUGUGGAUUAAUAUGUAUGUAAAACAAAAUGCAAAGGCACUAGAACAAAGAACCAGAGAGAGAAACUGCGGGGCGGCAUUGUAAAGCCACGGAGGAUGGCAAGCUAUAUUUAGCAGACAUGAAAGAAACCUCUUGUCUUUCUUGUGGACUCUAGAUACUCUGAAAGUAUUUGCUAAGGACAGGCAUCUAAGUGUCACUGGGGAGAGCACAUGAAAAAAGCUAGAGGUUUCCAGUCUUAGAAAACUAAAGAACUUUUUCCUUUGUUCCUGACUGCUCUUUGCCCUGUUGUUAUGUCGUUAUUUUGUAUUUACAAUGCCAUAGCCUUUUGUCACACAGAAUGCAGUAAAAAUUACAAAUAAGGCUGCCUGGCAACACACUGAAAUAUCACAAAAUGGGUUAGGAAGGAGCAAGGUUUAGUUUGAAUAAGAACCUGCUUAAGCUAUUAGCAAAUAUAAGGGAAGCUCUGUCUCUAACUACGGGCUGUCCCCCUGCUCUAGGAGCAUCAUCUGACCAUGCUCUAUUCACCUUUUUUUUAUCACCAAUACCCUGAGCUGAUUCCUGAGUCCCCUGAUCUGCUAUUUCCUCUACUCACAUUUUAUUUCUCAAGACCCAUCCCUGUUCCACGUAUUU